Molecule: ribosomal RNA, 253 nt
Filed under: uncultured bacterium
Lineage: Bacteria
Description: partial 16S ribosomal RNA
Rfam family: Bacterial small subunit ribosomal RNA
Source: RNAcentral
UACGGAGGGCGCAAGCGUUAAUCGGAAUCACUGGGCGUAAAGCGCUCGUAGGCGGCUUGGUCAGUCAGAUGUGAAAGCCCUCGGCUUAACCGGGGAACUGCAUUUGAUACUGCCAGGCUUGAGUGUCGGAGAGGGUGGCGGAAUUCCAGGUGUAGGAGUGAAAUCCGUAGAUAUCUGGAGGAACACCAGUGGCGAAGGCGGCCACCGGGACGAAAACUGACGCUGAGGAGCGAAAGCGUGGGUAGCAAACAGG